UUGAACUCUAAGUACCUUUUCUAAACACAUUGCAUUGUACAUGGUGUAAUCUGCACGCACAUGUCUUUUUUUAGAGAUUUGCACGCACAUGCUAAUCAUGGAUAUAGUGCCCAGCCCUUAGGGGAGGCUAAUCUGGACUUCCCAAGGACCUGAAAAUGACUCACUAGUGGGCUUUUACAUGGGCAUGUUUUCCUUUACUUUUUUCCUGUUUCUUUUUUUUUGUAAAUGCACAUUUUAUUCAAAUUUCAUGAACUUUUUUCAAAUUAACGAUUUUUCAAAAUUGAUGUUUUUUCAAAUUCAAUGAUCUUUUCAAAAUCAAUAAACUUUUUUUCCGAAUUUGAUGGUUUUUCUCAAUUUGGGGAACUUUUUCAAAUUGACUUUUCUUUUCAAAUCCGUGAACUUUUUUUAAGUUUGUAAACUUUUUUUCAAAAUGUGUGAACAUUCUUUAAUUCACUUUUUUUUGUGGUUUUAAAUUUUUACAUUUUUUUUCGUAUUUUUAACGUCAACUGGUCAAUCACGACCAGUCAAAAUGUGAUGGAGCAACCAAGGGGAAAACCGGUCAAGCGACCGAUCGCUCGCCUUCUACAUGGGCCGGCCCACAUGCAGGGGUGUGUGACUGCUGGUUCCUCCAAGUGGCGCUUAACUUAAGGCAGCACAUAGGAGCUCCCGGGGGCCAAGUACUUAUUUACGUGCAUCGUAUCUCUAAUUAGCUAUGCCAUGCUCAGUGCCUGGUUGAUCAAUAGGGGUCGGGGGCUAGGCCUCUGCUCGCCCCCAUGUCUCCACCACUGGCUAUCUGCCUCGGCGAUUUCUCCUCUGGUGAGAAUAAUGUGGCUUCUCAACAUAUCUGAAUGACACUGUUACCAUAAAUUAGUUAUUUGGUGCUUCCUCCCUUACUGUUGACGGACGACUCAAGAACAAGCUUGAAUUCAUGGCUCAUUUUUUAUAUACAUGUAGUUCAAAACGAAUAUUAUUCGAUAAGUGGCUAGAAAUGCAAUUCUUUUUUAAAAUUAGCAAAUGGUUCAAAAAAAGGUUAAAAUCCGGAUUGCUAACAUAGUUUAAUACGUUCCAUGUGGGAAAAUUAGGGAUGUUUUAGAAAAAAACAUUGUCAUAUUUAAUCCUUUGAGUGCAUUUCUAGUCAUUUAACUGAUAUAUUUAAAGAUUAAACUAUAAGUGCAUCAAAAGUUGGCAACAUUAGGUUCGAUAAUCCUAUUUGUAUUCUUAAGUGCAUGUUUAGGCCUUAUCCAAAAAAGAUAAGGGAUUCAAAACACGGUGUCAGGGCUUGGCCCCAAAGAUGGAGAUUAUUAAAAAAAAUUAAUUCCAAAAAAAUAACCAAUUUCUAAAAAAAUAUGAAACUUGGCAUUGUGUCAUCAUAUGGUCCCUAAAGAAUAUGGUAAAAAAAUUGUAAGAUUUUGCAAAAUUUAUGACGUACGUUGUGUGAAAAUUGAACCAUCUUCGGGGAUGAAAUGUGAUUUUGAGAAGGAACGAGUUGACUUUGAAGGUGAAGUCUGACAGAGCUAAAUCCGACACAUCUCGGGUAGGGGUCGCGAACUAAGGGUCUGGAGACAAUGAUAAUAAGAACACAAAUUUUUACACAGGUUCAGACUCUCCGGAGAGAUAACACGGUACGCCCUGCUUGUGUUUCCUUUGGAUAGCGUACAAAGUAUAAAUGAUCUAUCUCAAGAUCGUUAUUUUGUCGUAUACGAGCCCUGCCCCUCAUUUUAUAUAGGUAUCGAGAGGGCCUAGUCGGUUACUUACAAAGAGAACAUGUUCUAAAACAACACCCCAUGCUUAGGUUAGUUAAUUAUUAAUAUAUGUAUUUGUAUAGUCAGCAACUGGCUAUGCUAUUAGUCAUGCUUAGGUUAGUUAACAAAUAUUUAUACUGCACCGCCAUGUACUCCUUGGAAUUAAGCAUGCAUCCAUGAUUACUAGAAGUUAAUCUCCUUCUUAAGAGGUUGUCUUUCCUACUCUUUAAGAAAAGUCUCCUUCCUCCUUUCGUCGGCGCCGCCGCUGAUCCGCCCCACCUCUGAUGGCCUUUGGGUCGUGGAGACGGCGCAAUUUAAACCAAACUUCUGCGAGUUCGUUCAUAUUUAAAAUAUUUAAAAAAAAAACCGCUACUACUCUGCUCCUCGCCGUCUCCCUCGCCGCUCCUCGCCGCCCGCCGCCCUUGCAGUUCUACAUGCCGAGGAAGCUGUAGAACCGCGUGUAGUCGCCGCCGCCGCCGUCGUCGUCGUCGCCUCCGCCGCGGCCGCCGUCCCUGCUGCAGCCCUCCCCCGGUUGGCGCAGCGGGUUGGACGGUCCGGCGGCGUCCUCGUCGUCGUCGUUGUCGAGGACGCGCGUCGUCACGCCUUCACUGCGCCGCCCGUGAGGCAUCAAUGGCGGAGGCUGACCGGCGCGGCAGCGCGCGGCAGCUUUGGCAUUGAUUCGCCGCGGGAAACAAGGCGAUGAGGACGACGAAGCGGCGAGAAGCGAGACGAGUCGCUGGCAAGGAGGGCACGCGGCUCUUUCGCGCCAAAAACAAUUCGCCCGGCGCCCCAAGCGCCCCCAGCACGUCGGGGUCGGGUUGGGUCCGCCGGCACCAAUUUCGGCCCGAGCCGGCGAAAAUUGGGCCCUUGGGGACGCGACUGGACCGAUUUUUUUACGCCGGCGGCUGAAAAGUCGCCUGGGGGGUCUAGUUGGGGACGCAGCUGGAGAUGCUCUUAGCACUAGUAUAACUGGGAUCUUCUGAUGGGCCCGCGAGCAACCACGUUCCGACAUGUUGCCACUCACUUUACUCAUUCCAGAUUCCACUCCAACCACCCGCAAAACCCUAGCUAGCCACGCCCGUGCUCCCCUGACCACCUCCCGCCGGCGCCGGCGAUGGCCAGCCGGUUCUCCAACGUCGACCCGGUGACGGCGGCCGACAUGCGGCGCCAAGGCCUCGACCCGCACGAGCUGGACCGGAGCACGGAGCAGCUCAUGUCGCUCAUCCACAGCAACCUCCCGGACCCGCCGGUCUCCACCACCGCCCGCCUCACCGCCUUCCGCGCGCGCCCCUCCGACGGCGUGGACCGCAUCAGCCGCCUCUCCGACGCGCUCCUCCGCGACAUCGUCUCCCGCCUCCCCGUCAAGGACGCCGCCCGCACCGCCGCGCUCGCCGCGCGCUGGCGCGGGGUAUGGCGCUCGACGCCGCUCGUCCUCGUCGACACCCACCUGGUCUCCUCCGCGCGCGCCAGCACGCCGGACGUCAUCGCGGCCGUCUCCCGCGUCCUCGCCGCGCACCAGGAGCCCUUCCGCUGCGUCCACCUCACCUGGAGCCGCAUGGGCGCGUACCAGGCCCAGCUCAAGCGCUGGCUCCGUCUCCUCGCCGCCAGGGGCGUCCAGGAGCUCGUCCUCGUCAACCGCCCGUGGCUCCGCGAGGUGCCCCUCCCCAAAACGCUCUUCACCAUCUCCACCCUCACCCGCCUCUACAUCGGAGUCUGGAAGUUCCCGGACGCGGCUGGCCUCCAAGGCGCCUCCUUUCCCCACCUCCGGGAGCUCGGCAUCUGCAGCGUCGCCAUGAAGGACGGGGACAUCGACGCCGUCGUCGCCAGGAACCCCGCCCUGGAGAUCCUCAACAUCCAAGGGAGCAUGAAGGGGGUGCAUCUCCGCCUCGUCAGCCACAGCCUCCGUUGCGUGCAGAUCUGCUCUUUCGUCAUGGAGAGCGUCAGCGUGUUGAACGCCCCGCGUCUGGAGCGUCUCAUCCUGUCAGAGUGUCUCAACCCUGCCGGCGGAUCGUGCAUCAGAGUAAAGAUUGGCAACGUCCCCAAGCUGAAAGUAUUCGGGUUCCUGGAGCCAGGAAAAUACGUGCUGGAGAUCCAAGACACCGUCAUCAUGGUAAUACGCAUCCAUCCUCCGAAUGACCAUUCAGCUUUGUUCAAUUUGCGAACAAGUGCAGUUCAAUGUGCCAUCUUUUUUGCUGAAUCCAUCCAUCCAUCCAAUUCACUGAUUUCAGGCUGGGAUUAAGACAAGUGCAAGCAUGAUGGUCACAAGCGUGAAUGUCCUUAGUAUGAAGGUGCGCUUCGGAGUCUACGACGAUGUCAAGAUGGUGCCCGCCUUCCUCAAAUGCUUCCCCAAUGUCGAGGCGCUGCAUAUUACGGUACUACUAGCAUUGCAUCCUCAUACAUACUCAUCGUGCACGAUCCAUUAAUUACCUGCCGAUGAAAUGUUCACGAAAUCCCAUCAUUUGUUGCAGUCUGAAAAAUGUGAUCAACUCGCUGCCAAGUUCGACCUAAGUUCUGGGAAGAGGUUGGUCUCAUCGUAAGUGUGCUCUUGCGGCUCAAGGUGAUCACAUUUCGUGAAUAUCGUGCCAGGCAAGAUGAGCUUGCCUUCCUCCAGUACAUCUUGCAGCAUGCAAUGGUGCUCAAGUAUGCAGUGGUUCAGAUGGUCAAUCCAAAAUUCACUUCACUGUCCGUAGAUGAGAUGGCCUACACCAUAGACAAUAUGCAGCCUCCUCAAAAUUAAAGGUGGGCCAGUUCAGUUGGUUUAUUAACCAUGGGGACUCAUGGUCCUGAAGGAGGUGAAACUUGGACUUUUCGAAAAGGAGCAGACCUCUCCGACGACGACCCUAUUGCACCAGUUAAAUUCAUCAUAAGGGGUUAGUGUUGUUUUGCAAUAUCUAUAAUUCUACACAUGAUCGAUGCACAGUUUUUAGAUUGUCAGUAUGUUUUAGUAUCUGAAGAUUGUGCUAACAUGAUUAUCGAAUAUAUUGGUGAAGUAAUUCAGUAGUGCUAUUGUACAAUAUAUAUGACCAUGUAGCAACAUAUUUAUUGCUUGCAGAUUGCAUCCUGUAAUCCUGAUUUCUCAUUAACGAAACUUAAUUUAAUUACCCUUGUACUGUUUCAUUCUAGAGGUAAUCCAGUAUGAAAUGUGAAUCUUUGUGUAUAGCUAUGCGAGCUAGGUUGUUCAAUUUAGAUAUGCAUUUAUUUAGCUUUCAACCUCAUGACCACUAGACAUCCUAGACCAAUUGCUCCUUAGGCACAAGUCUCAACUUUCAGGUUGCAUGCAUGUUUCUCAAUUUUGAUUUUGCACAAAGUUAUGAUGCAUGCAUGUUGUUUCCACUUAGCCCUGCUGCACUAGCCAAAGUACUUACCUUGGUUAAUUAGCCACUAAAAUUACAGGCCAUCACGUAUACCAUUUAUGUAAUGCGCCUCACUUACUGGCAAAAUUCACACAUUACCAACACCAUAAGUUUGCAUUUGGAUAAACAGCCUCAAUUUCUUCACCAUGUCUCGGUUCCUUCCGUUCUGCUAUGUUACUGGACCACUUGUCUACUUCCUCAUCCUGAUCAGGCUGUCUUUUGUUAUGCCUUCAUGCGGCAUCAGUUGCAGGCCCGGCUACUCACCAGCAGAAGUCACGAGCUGCCAAGCGUCGCAACUGAGAUCUUCGACACAAGGAGUUAUGCAUCGCCGGCGUGUUUAAUCUGAAGAAUUAGCCUACCUGGUUGCCUUCCAUGGUUCUUGUAGUGAUCGAGUGCUGAAAAUGGUGUCAAGUUGCUACUCUGUUUUGCACGAGUCUGUGUGUGCAGGGAGCUGUGUGGUCUAUGGCCAGAGAUCAUUCUCCAGUAACUGAAAAAGACAAGGUGUAGUUGGCAACUUUAGGCACUGUAGUGAUCAAAUUCUGCAAUGGUGUCAACUCUAGUUGCUUCGUUUAAUUAUGAUGAGCUACCUGUAUACCGGAGCUCAUUCUAGUUCUGGUUCAGUAUGGCCGGAGCUCAUUCUCUAUUACUGUGCCUAAAAACGGCAUGUGGAAUUUGGCAACUACUCCCACUAGUGUCAAGAACGUUCUUAUAUUAUGAUACGGAGGGAGUAUUAGGCAGAAGUAACGAAUCCUUGGACUAGAAACAAUCAAAGCAUCAAUCAUUUCUACACACGCAACAUCAAUCAAGCAUCAAUCAUUCCUUAGCAAUGCAUCUUGUGCUAAUUCAGGAUACGUGAACCGGUACCCUUGCGCCGCGUGACUCGAGGGCGAAAGCCUAGCGCCGUCGGGAUCCUCCCUCGCCCUCGUCCCUCAUCGCCGCCUGCAGUGGCGAAGCCAGGAGUUCAAACUUGUGAUGUCAAUUCAAAAUUGUGAUGUCAAGUAGUUGUAUUGAGAUUAGUUCUACAUUAUUUUUUGGAGGAUUUCUAUUGUUUUUGUCUUAAUCCUGUGUAGUCAACUGACUACACAGAAUACUCCUGGCACCGCCACUAGCCGCCUGAGGCUAGCGCCGGCCAAGGAAGGUGGCGGCGGAGCCGUGCUGCUCCGCCCUGGUGGAAGGAGUGGAGGGCCCCAAGAUUAUAGUUGUGAAUAAUUAAGAGUUGAGUUACCUCAUUAUGAGAGUGUGAUAUCUCAAGUCGGUGAAGGUCCUCAGGAGUGUUGGUACUACAACCACCACGCGACGGGUUCCUACAGUUCAUCUCGGAGUUGAGGUAGCCCUCGGAUUUUCAACAGUAGUGAGUUCCGGUUCCCUGACCAGCCAGUGGCAGGUGCUACCGCUAUGGCCGGUCAUUUUGCAUCCUCUGCCAUGGUAGCUGAAGAAGAUGAUUUGUACAGUUAAAUUGUCCAUUGUGCUUUUUCCGUGAUGUACUUUUCUUGUUUGUGGCGAUCUUGUAUUGUCAUCUGUAGGGCAGGGAAAGACCAUGUACUUAAUUUUACACUCAUGUUCUGAUUACUUAAUUUUACACUCAUCGCCAACUUGAAGUUCCUCCUCCUCUGCUUCCAACAAAUGUCGGGCCUCACGAUCAACUUCCAUAAGAGCAAAGUGAUGAUCCUUGGCUACUCUCCUGAGGAGGCCCAGGCCAUGGCCGACCGUCUGAACUGCCGGCUGGGCUCUUUCCCCACCACCUACCUGGGGAUCCCCGUUAGUGACUAGACUGACCGUUGCCGACCUCCGCCCGGCGGUCACUAGGAUGCAGCACCGGGUUGAACCGUGGAGGGGCAGGUGGCUUUCGAAGGCAGCCAGGGUAAUCCUCAUUAACUCCUCGUUGUCCAGCCUCUUGUGGCUCCUCGUGAGCUUCUAUAGCUUACAUGAGACCUUACAUUAGGAGAUUGCCAAAUACCAGUCCUGGUUCUUCUGGGCUGGCGAGGGAGAGAAACAAAAAUACCAUAUGGUGAGCUGCCCAGACAUCUGAAAACCCAAGGACCAGGGUGGCCUUGGGAUCCUGUCCUCCAGGCGCAUGAACAUUGCUCUCUUGACGCGCUGGCUCUGAAGGAUCGCCAAUGGGGAGGGGGGACUCUGGUUAACCCUCAAUCGCAAUAAAUACCUUCGCGGUCAGCCCCUCGCCUUCUGCCAGCGCACCGGUGGAUCCCAAUUCUGGCAGGCGGUGAUUCAGCUCCUCCCUAUCCUCCGAAUUGGUACCUCCAUCUCGGUGGGCUCAGGAUCUGCGACGUUGUUUUGGUUCGACCGUUGAUUGGGGACUCCCCCCUUGCCGCUCGUUUCCCGGAAUUAUUCUCCAUCGCGGUUGACCCUAGGGUCUCCGUCGAGACGGCCCUUAUUGACUUAGGGCGGCUCACCUUCCGUCGCCCCUUUGGCCCACUCGAGGUGGCCGCGUGGGAUACCCUCCUCCAGUCCAUCGCUCUCCAAUUGUUAGAUGUGGACAGCUUGCCCGACUCCGUGUCAUGGCGUUUGGAGCCCUCGGGGCGUUUCUCCACGAAGUCCUUAUAUCCGGCCAUUGCCCCUUCUCGACUCCUGAGCCGUUUAGCCUGAUUUGGGACAUCCGCCUACCGCUGAAGAUCCGGAUCUUCAUGUGGCAGUGGAUCCGUGGCCGCCUCCCUUCUGGGGUUGAGGUCCUCAAGCGCAAUGGUCCGGGAGAUGGGAUGUGUCCCCUGUGUGGCACGGCGGAGGACGCCAACCACAUCUUCUUCUCCUGCGUACGGCCCAAUUCCUGUGGACCUGCGAUACGGUCGGUGGUCAUUGGUGUAACACCAACUUCCCGGACUUGCUGGCGGAAUCCACGCCUCUGCCCCCCGCCACCGCCACAUUAGGUGGUUGUGCGUUGGGGUUCUUGCCUGGACGCUUUGGACCAUCCGCAAUAAGCUUGACAUCCAAAGAACGCCUCUUCGACGUGCGACUGGCGCGAUCUUCAAACUGUGUGGUUACUUGCGGCUUUGGCAGUCACUUAGCCGCCCCCGGGAUCGGGACGCCAUCGACACCAUCCUCGCCGACCUUCACGCGAUGGCCUUCCGUGUGGCGCCUCCUCUCCCACCCCACCCCCGGAGCCCGACUAGGCCUGCGGCCUUCCUAAGGAGCUGGAUCCUUGGCCCGCUCCUUGGGUUGUUGCAUGUUGUGCCUUGUUUUUUUCUGUUUUCAGUGCUUGUUGAGAUGUGCCCUCAGCAUUAACCCUUUCAGUACUCUUUGUAUGUGUUGACUCUUCGCGUGUGUGUGGUGUGAACCUGUGUAUGGAUGAUUGGCUCGGGCGGUUUGCUUUAUAUAUAAAGCGGGGCGAAAGCCUUUUUCGGUAUAAUGAAGAUCAUGGCUUUCACUUAGAUGAAGAAAACUACGGAAAAAGAAAUGCAAAUCUUCGAUGUCCUGCUGUCUCUAGGUGCAAAUGUCAAUAGGAGGCAUGCUAUUAUCCGAAUACAAAUCUUUAUUGUGUACUUGCGCUUAAUUUCUUUGAUGAUGCCAACUGUAAGACAUCGAAAGAUCAUUUACUUAUCUUUACGUUCUUGUUCUGAUAUAAUGAAGAUCGACCCCACAAAAAAAGAAAAGGAUAUAAUAAAGACCGUAUCUUCCACCUAGAUGAAGAAAAAAGACAUCGCCUGUCUCAACUAAGGAAAAAGAAAUACAAACUUUGAUAUCCAAGUAUUGGCAUGUACUACUGUAGUACGUUUGCUGCUCUACGGGCUGUGCCGAACUGCUGGUUGGUUCACUUGGUUGAGAAAGGUCACACAUUCAGUACCUGGAUGUCAAUACAGGGUAUUAGUACAUGGAAGGUAUGGUAUGAUAGACGAUCAGCAAUGUACCUUCAAAACCAUGCCUGCGCAGCCUCGAUAUAUCUCCUACAUACAGAAGUACGCAGCAGUUUUGUAAGAAUGAAACCAAUGCCCCCACAGAUGAAAUAAAUCCAACACUUAAUAAUCUGCGCUGCUACAAAACACAUGUGCCGAGAUUCAGGUCGCCGCAGCUACCAUAAAUCCAACAAUUAAUUUAUUGCAUCGGGUAAGUGGUAUCUUCUGAUAUUAGUUAGAAUGUUGGUAAUACUUUGGUGUAACGGGUGCUAGGUUUUUGUUUUGUUCCUUGUGGAAAAAUAGGCAUCAUAGUAGCCUCUAUGAUGCACUGUCUCAAUUUUUGGAUUCUCCUGAAAAAAGAAUUGAAUUAUUCAUGUAGAUGUCGAUUAGUUAUUUAUUCUCAGGCUAAGUUGGCUAGCAUUGAAAUAUUGCUAGGAGACAUAAAGGUCACAGGAGAAGAGUUGUUGUUUGGAUUUUUAAACCGGUAUGAAUCUUAAUUUGAUACCUGAAAUCUAUAGAAAUGAAACAUUUGUUUUAUUUUAGUAACCGAUGCUUUUGGCCUUUAUAAUGAGAGCUCUUGUUCUUGAUAAGUAGGUGCGGAGUAGCAGAGGCACUUGAUAUAUGUAUUUUUCUUACUAUAGUUGAUCAGCGUGUGUGUUCUUUACAACCUAAAUGUUUAAGGUGCUGAGUUACAACUUACAUCAGUGAUAAUUAAUUAUACAGGGACUUCUGUGGGGAUUUCAGAAAAAUUAUGUACCUGUGGUGAAGAAAAGGCAUGUUCAACCGGACAAGGAUGGAGCACUCUGCUCAAAACAUUGAGGAUGCUGUAGCUGCCAGCAGAUUUGCCUACCUAGAAGCUCCAUGUUUUUCCUUUGUUAUCUUUUUGGAAGGUGGGUUCUGAAAUAAGUACUUUGAUAUUGAGGUGAUCUGUCCCUAAACUUGCAUAAUGGUUAUGGGAGCUUGCUAAAUUGCCACAGAUGAACUUAGACUGUUCUUCAGCACACGGCAAAUGGCAGAGAACACGAGCCUGGCUUUCUUCUUGAUGGUUUCAGGAUAGCCUCCAUAUGCCUACGCCCUACGGGUAUAAAUAUCAGACCACCAAAUCAAGAAAGUACUUGAAAGGAAAAAAUGAAGCACUCACCAGCCAGUUGUGAAGUUAAACGAUCUCUGAAUUGCUGCAAUAUCUGAAGAAGAUACAGCCUGAAGACCAUCCAUAGCUUCCAUGGAUACACCAAAUGUGCAAGUCUCUAGCACAUCAUCUUGUUUAAGGAACAGCUUCCAGCAAGAAAUGGACAACUAGUCUAAUUUUCUCACGCGUAACAAUUUUCAGAGUAACACCAUGAAUAGGAUCAGGACCAAGCUGCUCCAGCCUCACCAAUUGACUGAUACUUGUGGACAAAGCAAACUACUACCAAAACAAUAACCAUACAUGGCAAGGCACCCCAUUGGAAUGCUCUUAUUUAACGAUAAUCACAGCAGGAAAUAAGCCCGGGCGAUUGGACAUAACUCGCCUAAUGCAAAACAUAAGGAUUGUGGAAACUUAUAUUGCUACAUAAGCGCAAUCACGUGGCAGAGAUUAGUAACUUCUAGUACAAAUCAAAUCACAGAAGCAAUCACUAACAAAGUAACAAUAGUAGUACAACUACUUGCAGAUAACCAGAGUCAAGCUCUGCGUGCUCAGUUAAACCCAACACGUUCAACAAUACAGUUGGUUCUGUGCCUAACGCAUAAAUGUAACUUACUGUGAGCGCAUCAUCAACCUAAAAACUUACAUUACAAAAAGCACAAUCGUGUGGCAGAGAUGGUAAUCAGAAGCUGCUGAAAUGAACUACUGCUUUUGAUAUAUCAGUUUGCCAAAAGAGGCAACAGAGCAUUGGCAGUCAUCCAUCAAUCAAUUCCCCAUCCAGCAAUAAGAGCACUUGAGAGUUCCAGAUAACCAGAGUCGGCAAGCACCAACUAAAGCAACAGAACCAGCUACAGUCGCUACUAGAUAGAUAGAUAGAUACAAGCAAUGCAGAUGCAAUCUAGGAGGAGGUGAACUUGGUGACGGCCUUGGUGCCCUCGGAGACGGCGUGCUUGGCGAGCUCCCCGGGGAGGACGAGGCGGACGGAGGUCUGGAUCUCCCGGGAGGUGAUGGUGGGCUUCUUGUUGUAGCGGGCGAGCUUGGCGGCCUCGGCGGCGAGCUUCUCGAAGAUGUCGUUGAUGAAGGAGUUCAUGAUGGACAUGGCCUUGGAAGAGAUGCCGAUGUCGGGGUGCACCUGCUUCAGCACCUUGAAGAUGUAGAUCUUGUACGUCUCCACGCCCUUCUUCG
RNAcentral lists this long non-coding RNA (11251 nucleotides) under Triticum aestivum (bread wheat). RNAcentral's name for it is "long non-coding RNA (TAES_LNC008435)". The record is from RNAcentral. Lineage: Eukaryota; Viridiplantae; Streptophyta; Magnoliopsida; Poales; Poaceae.